Molecule: ribosomal RNA, 467 nt
Filed under: uncultured bacterium
Lineage: Bacteria
Description: partial 16S ribosomal RNA
Rfam family: Bacterial small subunit ribosomal RNA
Source: RNAcentral
GACGAACGCUGGCGGCGUGCUUAACACAUGCAAGUCGAACGGAAAGGCCCUGCUUUUGUGGGGUGCUCGAGUGGCGAACGGGUGAGUAACACGUGAGUAACCUGCCCUUGACUUUGGGAUAACUACAGGAAACUGGGGCUAAUACCGGAUAGGAGCUCCUGCUGCAUGGUGGGGGUUGGAAAGUUUCGGCGGUUGGGGAUGGACUCGCGGCUUAUCAGCUUGUUGGUGGGGUAGUGGCUUACCAAGGCUUUGACGGGUAGCCGGCCUGAGAGGGUGACCGGCCACAUUGGGACUGAGAUACGGCCCAGACGCCUACGGGAGGCAGCAGUGGGGAAUAUUGCACAAUGGGCGGAAGCCUGAUGCAGCAACGCCGCGUGCGGGAUGACGGCCUUCGGGUUGUAAACCGCUUUCGCCUGUGACGAAGCGUGAGUGACGGUAAUGGGGAAAGAAGCACCGGCUAACUACGU